This is a long non-coding RNA of Brassica napus (rape), 662 nucleotides long. RefSeq lists it as uncharacterized. NCBI's taxonomy places the organism in Eukaryota, Viridiplantae, Streptophyta, Magnoliopsida, Brassicales, Brassicaceae. The record is from RefSeq and is a predicted model, not a curated record. The transcript has 3 exons.
CCUCUGCAAUUCUUUUUCACAUAUCUCAAACUAAAUUAUCAAUUUUCUCAGAAUCCUCUCAUGUCUCGUCUCUUCAUCUCUCAUAUCUGGUCAUCUGCAAUCUUCUUUUCUCUGGUGAGCUCCUCACAUCUUCUUCUAAGAAACCCCUCUGUCUCUCCAACCACCGUUGAUAAGCUUCACCACCACGCUCCUUUUGGAACCAUUACGUCGUCACAAAAACACAUCAAUGCCUCUGCUCACAUAUCCAUCGUUACCCUCUCUCCUCUCCGGAGACACAGAAACAAGAAACAAAACGUCGUCACCUGUCUCCAUCUCCACCUUGUUUCAGGAUAAACAGAAGAUGAAGAACAUCAGGACACGGAGAGAAGAGAGAAGAGGCGAAGUCGGAGCUCUGUAGUGAUGGAGAUAGCGGCUAUGACUGUGAUGGGAACUUGUCUCCAACUUGCUUUUAGUCUGAGAAUUUCGUGUGUCCUGUGUUCAUUUGAACUGAGAGAUACUUUUGUGUUUCAGAAAUUGAUGUAUCAACAUGAAAGCGGUCUUUUCGAUUUUAGACGGACUGAAAGCUCUCCGUUGCUGCUUGUAAUUGACAAAAGAGAUGACCCGGUACGGUUACCCCAUUGCUUAAUCAGUGGACAUAUCAGGCAAUGGUGCACGAACUCAUA